CUCAAAGAAAUUGACGGAAAGCCGCACAAGCGGAGGAGCAUGUGGUUUAAUUCGAUGAUACGCGAGGAACCUUACCCGGGCUUGAGAGUUAGUGAAGAGUGCAGAGACGCACUCGUCCUUCGGGACACGAAACUAGGUGCUGCAUGGCUGUCGUCAGCUCGUGCCGUGAGGUGUAGGGUUAAGUCCCGCAACGAGCGCAACCCCUAUGUUUAGUUGCCAGCAUUUAAGGUGGGGACUCUAAACAGACUGCCUGUGCAAACAGAGAGGAAGGUGGGGACGACGUCAAGUCAUCAUGGCCCUUACGUCCGGGGCUACACACGUGCUACAAUGGAUGGUACAGCGGGCAGCUACAUAGCAAUAUGAUGCUAAUCUCUAAAAGCCAUUCACAGUUCGGAUUGGGGUCUGCAACUCGACCCCAUGAAGUUGGAUUCGCUAGUAAUCGCGUAUCAGCAAUGACGCGGUGAAUACGUUCCCGGCUCUUGUACACACCGCCCG
Molecule: ribosomal RNA, 495 nt
Filed under: uncultured bacterium
Lineage: Bacteria
Description: bacterial SSU rRNA
Rfam family: Bacterial small subunit ribosomal RNA
Source: RNAcentral